CGGGAAGUGGCGCAAGCGGUAGCGCACCUGCUUUGGGAGCAGGGGGUUGCAGGUUCGAGUCCUGUCUUCCCGACCA
RNAcentral lists this transfer RNA (76 nucleotides) under bacterium. Its description in RNAcentral is "tRNA-Pro". It matches the Rfam family "tRNA". Rfam says of the family: Transfer RNA (tRNA) molecules are approximately 80 nucleotides in length. Their secondary structure includes four short double-helical elements and three loops (D, anti-codon, and T loops). The record is from RNAcentral. RNAcentral also lists the same sequence under 1 other name.